Molecule: ribosomal RNA, 308 nt
Filed under: uncultured bacterium
Lineage: Bacteria
Description: bacterial SSU rRNA
Rfam family: Bacterial small subunit ribosomal RNA
Source: RNAcentral
AAUCAACGCUGGCGGCGUGCCUCAGACAUGCAAGUCGAACGAUUAAAGCUCUCUUCGGAGAGUGCAUAAAGUGGCGCACGGGUGAGUAACACGUAAGUAAUCUACCCUCGAGUGGGGAGUAACGUCCGGAACGGACGCUAAUACCGCAUAAUGCAGCGGCAUCGCAAGAUGACAGUUGUUAAAGAUUUAUUCGCUUGAAGAGGAGCUUGCGGCAGAUAGUCUAGUUGGUAAGGUAAUGGCUUACCAAGGCUACGAUCUGUAACCGGUCUAAGAGGACGGUCGGUCACACUGACACUGAAUAACGGGUC